RNA transcript from Penaeus chinensis, 2895 nucleotides. It is a transcript of the gene named glutamate receptor U1-like, with no coding region annotated. The record is from RefSeq and is a predicted model, not a curated record. NCBI's taxonomy places the organism in Eukaryota, Metazoa, Arthropoda, Malacostraca, Decapoda, Penaeidae. The transcript has 12 exons.
AGAAGAAAAUAGAAAACAAAAAAUAAAAUAAAAUCCCAAGAGAAUCAACAAAAAAAGAAAACAAUAUCACCAUGAGCAUCCUUCCACUUCCCCCCUUCGGAACAGCCUGCGUGAUGGUGGCGGCUGUUCUGUUUACGUUCCCGCCUCCCCUCCUCGCGGGACUCGGCAAGAGUGCUGUUUGGUUAACGCGAAAGAAUCUUCAUUCUCUGGGGCUCAAUAAUUUCACUAGGAUUCAUCCUAAGAAUCUCAGGUACAACGAGACGACGACGCUCCGGGUGGCGGUGGAGCAGUGGAUUCCCCACGUCGAGGUCACCGCCUAUCUGGACGGCUCCUUUCGCAUACGGGGUCCCCUGGCCAAUCUCCUGGAUCUCCUGGCGUCGACGCUCAAUUUCAAUUAUACCCUGGUCCGCCCCCCCGACGGAGCGUGGGGCGCCCCCAAUAGCGAUGGCGACUGGAAUGGUAUGCUGGGUAUGAUUCAGCGCAACGAGGUGGACCUCGCCCUUGGCCCCUUCGGCCUGACGGAGUCCCGCGCCAAGGUGGCCCAGUUCUCCCAGCCCAUCAUGAUUGACUACUACCGCAUCCUGGUGAAGAGGGGAAGCCCCGAGAUCAAUCCCUGGGGGUUCCUCAAUCCCCUGGGUCCUACCGUGUGGCUGGGGACGAUGCUGGGGAUGCUGGUGCUGUCUCUGCUGCUGAGCGUGGGCGUGGUGAGUCUGGUAAAGCUGAGGGACGGCCCCCAGGACAAGUGGACGACGGCGAGGCUCGUCCUCAACCAGUUCUGGGACCAGUUCGCGACGGUGUGCCAGCAGAACCUCAUCUACAUCUACGACGCCGUAGCCACACGCAUGAUGGUGGGCAUGUGGCUCCUCGGGGUUAUGGUGAUCAUGAAAAGCUUCUCGUCCGCGCUCACCUCCCUCCUCGCCGUCAGGAACAUCCCCGUCAGGAUAGACUACCUGAGGGACCUGGUGGACGACAGGAGUUUCCAGCUGGUGUUCGAGACGUCUACGGCCCUCACUGCCACUAUGGAGCAAGCAACGAGCGGCAUCUACCAAGAGCUCCGGGGCGUGGCUGCCAGAGGACGCGUGAAUUUCCUGAAGGCGAGUGACCUUUUCGACGUGGCCUUCAGCUCGGUGCGAGAAGGGGGCGUGGCACUUCUGGUCGAGGACGCCACCAUCAGGAAAAUCAUUUCGGAUGACUUCUCGCUGAAAGGUACCUGCGAUUACUACAUAGGCAAAGAGUCGUAUUAUCCCCUUAUUUUCUGCAUCGUGGGAGUCCCUGGUUUACCCAUUAUGCCGGCUAUCAACUACAGGAUCCAGUCUCUGGUUGAGCACGACCUGUACAGCGAGUGGGUGGCUAACUUACUCCCCAAUGCAACUUCCUGUCUGAGAGCUCCCUCUUCUAUCACCGUUAAUGAGCCUUAUACUAUGGAGGGGCUUUGGGGAAUCUUCGUGGUGCUCGGCGUAGGACUCUCCAUCUCGGCCCUUGUGUUCGUCGUGGAGGUCGUGAUCCACAGGAAGGGCUUCGGCAAAGGGCCCGGCCUCCCUGCUCCCAAAAUAGACAUCGUGUACCCGAUGCCCAAAGCCUUGCUACAUGAACUGUACGCCACCUCAACGCCCUUCCUCAGCAAAUGGCCCUCAGUCUCCCAGGGUUCCUCACGCCCUUCCCACCUGACUCGAGGGGCGGAGCAGAGUCCUUGGCAUGCUGGCAGUCCCAUUGUUGUCACUCUCCAGCCUCUUGCUGUCACUAAAGAGGUCACGCCCCUUGGUAGAGCGGAGGGCGGUGACACCCCGAAAGACGGGAAGGACCACCAGCUCCGUCGACGCCGUCUUUCGCUGGCUGAGGAGGAUCCACCCAGCCCUGAUUUCGAUUCCCGCCAGCUAGGACAGGACAAAGUUGUCGUACUGUGGUGAAUCAACACGCACGGCGGGUAGUCCUGGGAACUCAAUCGCACACACCCCGUCGUCUUUUCCGCUCACACACACACACACACACACACACGACGCCGUCCCAUGACCCCGCACUAACAGAGGCUCGUCUUGUGACAGCUAGUCCUCAACACAGCAUGAAGUCGUCUUUUCUUGUAUCUCUGCACUGCCCACUGUCCCUCGGCUUCAAAUACACAAGAGUCAGAGGACAAUCAUACAGACCUGUAAAGCACAAGUAACAUAAGUGAAUGCAUUGCAUGAAUUAAUUUACUUAAAAGGCUUUCAUCACGUGCACACCUACAAUGCUUGAGCUAUGGCUGUUGCUGCAUCAUCCAAAUAGCUUCGGCUAUUUUGUAACAAUAAAACUACUAAUAAUUAAUAUAACAAUAAUAAUAGCGAUAAUGACAUAAUAAAACACUGCACAUAACUGAUGAUUCAUUUUGUAAAAUGAGCACAAUGAUAUUUAUAAUAAUACCUGUCUAUCUUGUUAAAUGAAUAACAAAAACGAACGAUAAAACUAAAACGAUUAAUAAAAAAGACAUUGUUAUAAAGCAGGAAAAAGGUGAUACUAAAUUAAUAAAAGAUACGUACGCAUAAAAUAAGUACCUAAAUACAUAUGCUGCUUUCCCUUAUAUGUAAAGUCUCCGGAAAGUAUAACAAUCUUUAUAUAAAGCUUACUCCAGUACACCAAAAAAAACAUCAAAGCUAGGAGCAUGGCUACUGCACACGAAUUCGGAAACCCCAAGCCACUCGAGGAAAAGAAUAUUCACACACUUGGUCACCCGAUUACACUGAGUUCAUAUAACUUGUUUAUUCCUGUGCAGAGAGAGCAGAUCAGGUCAACCCAAGCUCCCUCUCGGGCAGUUGCCACGGCGGAGUCAGUGGCAAGUGUGCAUCCUGACGAAACUCAGGAAUUUACUGAAGUUACCUGGAGUCGGGUGGCAGACGACCGCCAGCAGAUUCUCAGCGAUGA